GUUCACAGACAAUCCUCAUUGUCAGAAUCCCCCAAAUACUCCAGAGUGGGCAGAACUGGAGAAGUCGUACAUGAGUCUACAUUUGUUUUAGACACAACCACUCGUGCCAGUUCUUCUUGUUUUUCUAUACUCCUUCAAACUGAAUAACUGAUCUACUUGUUUUGAGCCUGCAAUAGAGGGGCACAACACGUGGCUUGGGAAAAAAAACUCAUGUUCCACCCAGAUAGUUUUUCACAACAUUUCCUCUUUGCACCGGUGUCCCGCCUCUAGACCAACUUAGUUGUGAGAAAGUCUGUAUCUUUAGAGGAGGUAGCCAUAUGACUGUAUCAUUUAUUGAUAUUCUCCUAAUUAGUGAUUAACUGACGGUUCUUAGCAGGAUUGGGCUAAAUGCUGAAAUAAAAACCUGAGGUGAAGAACUAUCUUUCCCUGCAGUAGAAGUCCAUGUGAGAGGAGAGAGCUGUAUGAUACUAGAAGGACAAGACACCAAUAAGGGGCUCACAGCAGGUGGGCUUUUCUCCUAUCCAGAGCACCAACUGAAACAGACAGAAUGAACAGAGCACGAGGACUGUGUUUCACUUUACUACUACUGGGGUAACUUUCAGCUCAACUUUCAAUCCAGAUUGCAUUGCAGUCACUAUGUGGACUUUUGCAGUGUUCUGGUGAUAAUUAUGGUCAUGUUUUUCCUUAGGUGUGUACAUGGGAGCAAGUCUCCUCAAAGAGAAGUGGUAUUCAGUAGAGGGAUCCAACUCUUUGUUGAAGGUUUGAACCCUUCUAAUCCCUCUGUAGUAAUCCUCUCCUCAUUUGGGCACAACCCUGGUGCUUCAGCUACACUGGUGUGUAUACUCAGUGGUUUAAAAACACACCAUUUGUUGGACAUCAUUUGGUGGAUCAACAACACAGUGGUAACCCCUGAGAACAAUGCCAUUUGGAGUUCCAGGGGAAGUGAUGGCACGUACACAACUACCGGACUGUGGACUAUGUCUGGAAAGGACUGGAAUCCCUAUAGUAACUAUGAGUGUGGAACCAGACAUGAAGGAAAGCAUUAUAGAAAUGGUACACAGCCCUCACUUUGCAUGGAUUUUACUUGAUUACAAAUAUUUGUUAACCUAUCAAAAAUUAUCCUUAGCAUUUCAUGUACAAUCUUUACUAUUAUUAAAGUAUUCAUGAUGUUUCUUGAGUAUUUUAUUGAAAGAUCAGGUAGCCUAGUGGUUAGAGCUUUGGAAUAGUAACUGAAAGGUUGCAAGUUCAAAUCCCUGAGUUGACAAGGUACAAAUCUGUUGUUCUUCCCCUUAAGACCCACUGUUCCUAGGUUGUCACUGAAAAUAAGAAUUUGUUCUUAUUAUCUGAUUUGCCUAGUUAAAGAAAAAAAUACAAAUAAAUAAAUACAGAUUAUCAUUCUAGUUGCCAUUACCAUAUGUUGACACUAGAUGGUGCUCACUGCCUGCAGUUGUAGUGUUUGUGUUGAGUGAUGGUAAAUUCAUAUGCAUGGCAUCUCUGUUUCACAAACUCACUGAUUUCAACUGAGACAAUGCUGCUCUUGUUCCUGGAUGUAUCUCUCAACAACAAGCUGUUAUACAAAUGGUCAUAUGCACAAAGCUGAAUACUCUUUAGUUUAUGUUCCAAACAACAAUUGUGUUUCUGUCAGCCCUUUAAAAAUAUUUUUGCAUAAUUUAUAAGUUCAUAAUAUCAUCAAUAAAAUAUACAAAUAAUGAACUAAUCUGCAUUGCACUUUCACAUACAAACUCACAACCACUUCUUUAUUUUGUCCUGGUCAUGCAUGCGUAUGCUUAUGUUCUUGGGGCCACUGGUUGCUGUCUGAUUCCUGUGAAGAAUUAACCAUAACAACCCAAUUGCCAUUAUCAGCCAAUGAAAUUGCUUUUGGAGCUCAGCUAACUGCUUGCUGUGUGAGUCAAUUCAGCAGAUUUGGGACACUUGUUGAAGAAACCUUGGAGAUAUGAGGAAUUUCUGAAUGGGAGAUGGGAUGGGAAAACGUUUACGUUGUGAGUGUGUGUCUGUGAGCUGUUUCCAAUUUGAAAGGCAACGUAUUUUGUCAGUACACCCAGAAAAAAAGUUAUAUCUAGAACCUCGGGUUCUUCGGCUGUCCCCAUAGGAUAACCCUUUGAAGAACCCUUUUUGGUUCCAGGUAGAAGAACCCUUUUGGGUUCCAUAAAGAACAAUUUUUACAGAGGGUUCUACAUGGAACCCAAAAUGGUUCUACCUGGAUCCAAAAAAGGUUAAUCUAUAGGGACAAUGAAGAACCCUUUUGGAACCCUUUUUUCUAAGAGUGUAUGUACCCCGUCUGAUUCAUCUCACUGCCAAGUGUAACCUGCUGUCUUCACAAUAACUUGAACGUGACCACUGCUUGGGGUACUAUCAUGGAAAAUGAACUCCAUACUCACUGGGCACAGAUGUCAACUCAACGUCUAUUCCAUGUUGGUUCAACCUUAUUUAAUUGAAAUUACGUGGCGACAACAUUAAUGCAACCAGUGUGUGCCCAGUGGGUAUCUGACUCCAAGUUAGUAAAUUCUAAUUGCAAAUCUAUGACACGCAUUUCAAGAUAUAGCAUGACGAGCAUGGAGAGACAAGUCAUUGAGUGAUCGACAGUACCAGUCAAAAGUUUGGACACACCUACUCAUUCAAGGGUUUUUCUUAAUGUUUUACUAGUUU
This 2667-nucleotide long non-coding RNA is filed under the name Oncorhynchus mykiss (rainbow trout). Its description in RNAcentral is "lncRNA (ENSOMYG00000067322.1)". The record is from RNAcentral. Lineage: Eukaryota; Metazoa; Chordata; Actinopteri; Salmoniformes; Salmonidae.